Molecule: long non-coding RNA, 639 nt
Organism: Clupea harengus (Atlantic herring)
Lineage: Eukaryota; Metazoa; Chordata; Actinopteri; Clupeiformes; Clupeidae
Source: Ensembl
AAGAGAGAAGAUGAACUGGAGAUUUGCUCUGUAACACUUAACUAACACUGACUACAUUUAAUGUGAGAACUACACUCCAUUCAGCCAAUAAUUAUCAUUGUGAGUUAGACUAACUAAUAGUUAACCGUAUAUGACAGUGACAGUUAUUUAGUCGGUGUUGAGUUACAGUUCAGAGAACUAUUAGGAGGACCUAGCAACCGCUUAGCUCUGAAUGCUAACUGGGCUCCAGCUAGCCUAGCAUUAGGUCGUUGGACAAGGGUGGCUUAUUCGGCAACCUACACAUCACAGCGUCCCUACUGCCCAGAAAACCCCAACGAGAAAGAGACAGCGGAGUCUAGGCAGUGGACAACUCUGGUCGGCAUCGUGGUGUGUGUUGAGGUCACGGGCUGUAUGAAGUCCUCGCUGUGAGACCGGUCUAACAGCAUAGGAGAUACUGAGAGUCUGGAGCCUAAACACUCUACCUGUGACAGGCCAGAUCUCCAUCGGGAGAGAACUAUGUUGGUCUGACGUUGGAGAUGUCCUGAUAGCAUUAAUAAGAAAACGUAUCUGCAGGGCAACCCCACAGGUGACCGUGAACACACACAUUACACACCAGCCUCGCAUGUGACCGUUUACACACACAUUACACACCAACCCCGC